GACGAACGCUGGCGGCGUGCCUAACACAUGCAAGUCGAACGGAACUGUUUUGAAAGAUUUCUUCGGAAUGAAUUUGAUUUAGUUUAGUGGCGGACGGGUGAGUAACGCGUGAGUAACCUGCCUUCAAGAGGGGGAUAACAUUCUGAAAAGAAUGCUAAUACCGCAUGAUAUAUCGGAACCACAUGGUUUUGAUAUCAAAGAUUUUAUCGCUUGAAGAUGGACUCGCGUCCGAUUAGUUAGUUGGUGAGGUAACGGCUCACCAAGACCGCGAUCGGUAGCCGGACUGAGAGGUUGAACGGCCACAUUGGGACUGAGACACGGCCCAGACUCCUACGGGAGGCAGCAGUGGGGGAUAUUGCGCAAUGGGGGCAACCCUGACGCAGCAACGCCGCGUGAAGGAUGAAGGUUUUCGGAUUGUAAACUUCUUUUAUUAAGG
Molecule: ribosomal RNA, 436 nt
Filed under: uncultured bacterium
Lineage: Bacteria
Description: bacterial SSU rRNA
Rfam family: Bacterial small subunit ribosomal RNA
Source: RNAcentral